Molecule: ribosomal RNA, 24 nt
Filed under: Laccaria laccata
Lineage: Eukaryota; Fungi; Basidiomycota; Agaricomycetes; Agaricales; Hydnangiaceae
Also listed under: 4 other names
Description: partial 28S ribosomal RNA
Source: RNAcentral
GGUAGGACUACCCGCUGAACUUAA